Tigriopus californicus is the source of this 978-nucleotide long non-coding RNA. RefSeq lists it as uncharacterized. The transcript is spliced from 4 exons. NCBI's taxonomy places the organism in Eukaryota, Metazoa, Arthropoda, Copepoda, Harpacticoida, Harpacticidae. The record is from RefSeq and is a predicted model, not a curated record.
CGACCUUUCAAAUGCUCCAAAGCGGAUCGGAAAAACUCUUUUUCCGGUUUCCCAACGACAACCGCUUUUUCACCCGUGGAGUAUUCCAAUCCGGUUACAAAACCUCCUAUUGUAAAACAGCAUCUGAAGGGUUGGCAAUUUGUUGAGAGAGGUUGUACACCCGAUAGUUGGAACCGUGAUGCUUGUUGAGAAAUGCGGACACUUCCCGAAUUGGAUUCCGAUACCAAGACAUGAUUCCUGAACUGGGGAAGCUCAUGGCGAUGAUCCUUGAGGUGACAUAGGCGAAUGAGCCGAAUGAGCCGAAGGAAUCGGAAGAUCCUCAUGAGAACCAGGACCUUGGUGAAAUUCAAAAAUUCAAUAUCUUCCUCGGGAUCACAGCUUCCGUUGGGAAAAGCUCCAUUUGCAAUGGAAUUUUCUAUGACAAUGGUGUAAACAAGAGAAAUGGAGCACGUGGCCAGGACGAUGACAAAAUCUGAUAUGUUGAACCAAUGCUUCCAAGAGAAGAACACUGCCAAGAGAAGACAAAUGGUAUUGUAUUUUCUUAAAACGAACAUUUAUUGGGAUAAAAAAGGCCCCAAGUUAUUUUUCACCUUUGGGACUGAGUGCGAAUAUGCGGAUCCCAACCUCGAGAAAGAAAAUGGACGAGAUUCCGAGUUCAAUGAACUCAAUGAUGCGAGACGUCAGGGUUGGUGGGCAAUCGAUGAUAAUAUCCGUGACUAUAAGGAAGCUAUCCACAAUGACCAGGACGAAGCUGAACAAUCGGAAAAGUAGGGAUUGGAUCACAAACCGGAGGGUGCACCAUCGGAUGUAGUUGCAAUUGCAGCCUAAAACAAAGCAAUGAUCGAUUCCAAUUCAACGAGCCACAUCCCAAUUGAGAUCCCAAGGGCCAGAGAGAAUGAGGGCGAUGAGGCCCGUCGCUUUACCUUUGUGAGGCGGUUUACUCGGAUCAUUGAACGAGCUGAUAUCUUCGGCCUCGAG